AACGCACCUUGCGCUCCUUGGUAUUCCGAGGAGCAUGCCUGUUUGAGUGUCAUUAAUAUAUCAACCCUCUUCGGCUUUUUGCAUGACGAGUGUUGGAUGUGGGGGUUUUUUGCUGGACUCUUUCUCUUGAGGUCAGCUCUCCUAAAAUACAUUAGCAAAACAAUUUGUUUGUUUACCGCUCAUUGGUGUGAUAACUAUCUACGCUAUUGACAGUAAAGCACAGUUUAGCUUCCAACAGUCCAUUGACUUGGACAACCUUUUAUCAAUGUGACCUCAAAUCAGGUAGGAUUACCCGCUGAACUUAA
Molecule: unclassified non-coding RNA, 305 nt
Filed under: Trochila sp.
Lineage: Eukaryota; Fungi; Ascomycota; Leotiomycetes; Helotiales; Cenangiaceae
Description: partial contains 5.8S ribosomal RNA, internal transcribed spacer 2, and large subunit ribosomal RNA
Rfam family: 5.8S ribosomal RNA (bases 1-52)
Source: RNAcentral